RNAcentral lists this ribosomal RNA (811 nucleotides) under uncultured bacterium. Its description in RNAcentral is "bacterial SSU rRNA". It matches the Rfam family "Bacterial small subunit ribosomal RNA", at positions 59 to 843 of the family's 1533-position model. The record is from RNAcentral.
CAGUCGAACGUGCAAUGUGAAAGUAGCAAUACUUUUGCAAAGCAAGUGGCGAACGGGUGAGUAACAAGUGGACAAUCUGCCCUUAAGAUCGGGAUAAUUAUUCGAAAGGAUAGCUAAUACCGAAUGUUUUAUAUCUUUCGAUGAUUGAUAUAACAAAGGAAGCCGCAAGGCCUCCGCUUUUGGAUGAGUCCGCUGCCUAUUAGCUAGUUGGUAAGGUAAUGGCUUACCAAGGCUAUGAUGGGUAGCCGGCCCGAGAGGGUGUCCGGCCACACUGGGACUGAGAUACGGCCCAGACUCCUACGGGAGGCAGCAGUAGGGAAUAUUGCGCAAUGGGCGAAAGCCUGACGCAGCGACACCGUGUGUAGGAUGAAGGUCUUAGGAUCGUAAACUACUGUCAGUUGAAGAAGAAGGUAUGAAAGUUAAGAGCUUGAUUAUUGACGGUAUUCAACGAGGAAGUCUCGGCUAACUCCGUGCCAGCAGCCGCGGUAAGACGGGGGAGGCAAGCAUUGUCCGGAAUUAUUGGGCGUAAAGAACACGUAGGCUGUUUUUCAAGUCAAUUGUGAAAACCUUGGGCUUAACCCGAGGAUUGCAGUUGAUACUGGAUAACUAGAGUACAGUAGAGGAAAGUGGAAUUCCUGGUGUAGCGGUGAAAUGCGCAGAUAUCAGGAAGAACACCAGUGGCGAAAGCGGCUUUCUGGACUGUUACUGACGCUGAGGUGUGAAAGCUAGGGGAGCGAACAGGAUUAGAUACCCUGGUAGUCCUAGCUGUAAACGAUGGACACUAGGUGUGGGGAGUUAUCGACGCUCUCUG